This is a long non-coding RNA of Cydia amplana, 297 nucleotides long. RefSeq lists it as uncharacterized. The transcript has 2 exons. NCBI's taxonomy places the organism in Eukaryota, Metazoa, Arthropoda, Insecta, Lepidoptera, Tortricidae. The record is from RefSeq and is a predicted model, not a curated record.
GACACACAUUUUACCACUUUGGAAGUGUCUCUCGCGCAAACUAUUCAGUUUAGAAAAAAAUUAUAUUAGGAACCUCAAUAUCAUUUUUGAAGACCUAUCCAUAGAUACCCCACACGUAUGGGUUUGAUGAAAAAAUAAUUUUUGAUAUUAAAAAAAAACUACUUACUAGAUCUCGUUCAAACCAAUUUUCGGUGGAAGUUUACAUGGUAAUGUACAUCAUAUAUUUUUUUUAGUUUUAUCAUUCUGUUAUUUUAGAAGUUACGGGGGGGGGGACACACAUUUUACCACUUUGGAAGU